RNAcentral lists this ribosomal RNA (468 nucleotides) under uncultured bacterium. RNAcentral's name for it is "partial 16S ribosomal RNA". It matches the Rfam family "Bacterial small subunit ribosomal RNA", at positions 28 to 507 of the family's 1533-position model. The record is from RNAcentral.
GACGAACGCUGGCGGCGUGCUUAACACAUGCAAGUCGAACGGACAGGCCCUGCUUUUGUGGGGUGCUCGAGUGGCGAACGGGUGAGUAACACGUGAGUAACCUGCCCUUGACUUUGGGAUAAAUUCUGGGAACUGGGGCUAAUACCGGAUAGGAGCUCCUGCUGCACGGUGGGGGUUGGAAAGUUUCGGCGGUUGGGGAUGGACUCGAGGCUUAUCAGCUUGAUGGUGGGGUAGUGGAUUACCAAGGCUGUGACGGGUAGCCGGCCUGAGAGGGGGACCGGCCACAAUGGGACUGCGAUACGGCCCAGUCUCCUACGGGAGGCAGUAGUGGGGAAUAUUGCACAAUGGGCGGAAGCCUGUGGCAGCAACGCCGCGUUCGGGAUGACGGCUUUCUGGUUGUAAACCGCUUUCGCCUGUGACGAAGCGUGAGUGACGGUAAUGGGUAAAGAAGCACCGGCUAACUACGUG